UUAUAACUUUCAUAGCCAAUGUAUAACUGUAUUAUACUAUUAUCAUACUAUUUGUUGAUGGAUUAACACUUAAUAUAAUGAAAAAUAAAAGCGUUCACCCUACAGGGCAGCUAGCUAUAAAGCGAUAACUCCGAAUAGAUGUAGGAAUAAUCUUGUGAGAUGUGAGAACUUGAUACAUGCCAGAUAGGUUACGUGGUAGUCCCUGGUAGGUAACUAUUAAGACCGUGAAGUUUAUAAAUCUGAUUGACUUAGUUGAGGUAGUUUUGAACAUUGAAUUCAUCACCAGUUCACCACCAGAUUUCUUCUGUCUAUGAGUCCAGAAAGACACAAAUCGUCAAGUAAAUACUCUCUGGGUUCAUCCUGAAGGAUCAGAAAUCUAUAGUACUCAUCAUAUUUUUUAAAGAAGCUUUACUUCUGAUCAAGCUGGUUAUGGAAGAAGGAUAAAACCCGAUGUCAGAUGGUUAGGUUCUCUUUGCCAAAUCUCAAAGCUAAAGGAGGCCCUUUUAAUUGUUUAUUCACUUGACCACAUGCUAAGUUGGUUAACUCGAUCAUUGAGCUAUGGCUUCUACAUCCCAUUUUUCUUACUAACGCCCGAAUAAUACUCGCAAUCCAUACUACCUCUCUCUCGGUCGAAUCCAUUCCUAAUUCUUCUACUAAAGAGACCACGCAUCUGUCGAGUAUAUUCGUUUUCCUCCGACUCUAUCCUUUACUUCUGUUGUAAUCUGUUCCUGCGUGUUUCUAAAAUUCCCAAACGUUUUUUGGCGCACAUGGCAAUCACAUGCUACUACUCGUUGAUGCGAUAAAACAGCAGCAUUACCGAAACGAUGUUGCCUCCUAUAUCCAUACGUCACUUCCCAUCUGUAACUAACUAUUCUAUCCCUUGUUAUUUGAAUAAUUCUCCUUUUUUUCUUGUAGGAGUAGAUUCUAUACUCCUACAAAAAUGUAGGAGUGCGGUCGUAGGGUGCAGUCGAGGCAGGCAUGAAGGAUUGAAAGUCGUACAUUUAUUUCCUUCACCAGAUUAAUUGAUAGAUUUCCGUAACGCGACGGGGUAGGAGUUCUCAAAUUUCCUUGAGAACUUACUUGGCUUAAAUUUACUUGGCUGUAUGUGAUACGUGCCAAAGUUUGAGCAGGAGUUAAGGUGAGAAUGACGAGUUGGGUUAGGAAAGUAAACCUCAAUUAUCCGUGAACUCAUUCAGCACUGCCUAGAAAGUCGUCACCUUGUGUAUUAAGGAGCGUUCAUCAAUGAGUAUUUCAGGGGCUAAGGGGGUAAAGGUGGAGUAUUCUAUCUGACGAUGAAACAAACACAUAUCCGACACACAGGACAUACCCGAGAUGAGCUGCUUCCAGUGGCCUUUUCUUCUGAGUAUUUUCAAGGGGUCGUGUGUUCCGUGAAGUUGCUGUCCGAUCAUGUGGGACGUUGUUGCAGCCUAUGCUGGUGAAAGAUCUUUAUGCAUUAAGUUAAACUGGCUGUUUCUUGGUGCUGGUGUCGUGUUACCGAAGUUGCAUCAUUAUUUUGUUAAAUUGUCAUUGGGUCUGUUUACCAUUUAUAUGUUAAGAAGGAACAGAAAUAUGGGGAAUUUAUGUUAAACAAACAAUAAACAUGUUUUCGGGAUUGCGAAAGGAACGUAGAGGAUGUUGGGGUGGGGAGGAUUUUAAUUAAAAAAAAAUGUUGAGGUUUGUUGUAAAAAAAUACCGACGUGUUGGGUAAUGAUGAAACUUUAUUAACCUAUAAACCCUUAAUCAUUUUACCUACUUAUGUUUUCCAAACCGCUAUUAACCUAUAAUCAUACAAACAGAUACCUACUCAUCAUUUCCCACAUCCCUACAAUCCCACACAUUACCUACAUAUCAUUCCUCUAACUCCUUUUGCAACACUUAUAAUGUUCAAAAUAAAUUUAAAUCAUGAAAGAAAAAUCUCUUUAUUUUCUAUCUGAAAUGUAAAUUAUUUUAAUAAGCAGAGCGUCCGGUCAGAGCUGGUCCGUUUCAAGACAAUUCUUUUUUUUUGUGCGAAUAUUUAGCGGUAUGGUGACCGCGUAGAACUCCAAAGACAGAAGAACUCCACCGACAAUAGAACACCAAUAUUUUCAAUAAUUUUAAAAAUUUCUUUGUAUGCGACAGUAGAGCUCCAAAGACAUAAGAACUCCUUUUUAAAA
This 2153-nucleotide long non-coding RNA is filed under the name Daphnia pulex (common water flea). RNAcentral describes it as "uncharacterized LOC124190494". The record is from RNAcentral. Lineage: Eukaryota; Metazoa; Arthropoda; Branchiopoda; Diplostraca; Daphniidae.